RNAcentral lists this ribosomal RNA (279 nucleotides) under uncultured Sphingobacteriales bacterium. Its description in RNAcentral is "partial 16S ribosomal RNA". It matches the Rfam family "Bacterial small subunit ribosomal RNA", at positions 505 to 783 of the family's 1533-position model. Lineage: Bacteria; Pseudomonadati; Bacteroidota; Sphingobacteriia; Sphingobacteriales. The record is from RNAcentral.
GUGCCAGCCGCCGCGGUAAUACGGAGGGUGCAAGCGUUGUCCGGAUUUAUUGGGUUUAAAGGGUGCGUAGGCGGCCCGUUAAGUCAGCGGUGAAAUCCCGGGGCUCAACCCCGGAACUGCCGUUGAUACUGGCGGGCUUGAGUUCGGUCGAGGCGGGCGGAACUGGCGGUGUAGCGGUGAAAUGCUUAGAUACCGCCAAGAACCCCGAUUGCGUAGGCAGCUCGCUUGGCCGAAACUGACGCUGAGGCACGAAAGCGUGGGGAGCGAACAGGAUUAGAU